UUUUGGUCUCAAAAUUGUAGCAGUAACAUGAAAUAACAGACAAAGAGUGAAAACCAGAAGUGCAUAAGUGAUAUUUUGGCUGAAAUGGAGGAAUAUCAAAUGAAAGCUCUCGAUGAUCUCAUUGUACUCCAAAAAGGACAAUUGAAUUCAUAAUAAUUUUGGAGUUAUUCAUCAGAAACCAAAAGACUUAACACUGAAAAUACCAAGUCAGUUGGUGCCAAAAGGGGGUAACUACACUUUCACCACUUUGGCAUUGAGAAAUGUAUGGAGGGUAAAGCUGGUGGAUAACACGUGGAUCAAAAUGACUGACACAACAAGUAAGCCUGGUUGGUCAACCAUGAGAAGACAGCAGUUUUAGCUACGGAAGAUAUAUUAUCAAGCUUACUUUGUGACAACGAGCUGGAUGAUGAUGGAGAACAUUAAAAUAUCCAGCAUUCAAUGUCAAUUCAAUUCAAUUCAAUGUCACACUCAAUGAGGUGUAGCUAGCUAGCCGGUAGUUACCAAUAACUUACAUUUUAAUGAUAUAUCAUAGAGGCACUCAGUUACAGUGUAACAACAAUGAGUUUUACAUAGUAAUUAACUCAAAUGAUAUAUAGGGAAUUUGAAUAAUUAAUCAAGAAUUUGAUUAAUAUAUAUCUCAGAUGACAGUUACAUUUAAUUUUAUUGAUUAUGAAAAAUAGCUCAAUUGCCAAUACCAAUACUAAUCACAGGGCACUGUAAUUUACUCAUUAAUAUGUCAAUAUUAAUUCUUCAUAUCAAUUAUUGUGAUAUCUCUUACUAUAAAUUACUGCAGAUCAAACCGUGGUAUGUCCAGCACACCACUGUAGACCUAUCAAUUUUCAAUAAAGUUAUCACGCCUUAUAAUUCAAGGAAAAGUAUUCUCUGGCCAUGAAAAUAUUAUCCUAUCCUUAUGAUAAAUUUAGUUUCUAAAUUUAGAGCUUGUAGCUAAAGAUCAGAACAUUUCAGUGACUCGUAAUGUGAGUGGGGUGGAGUCCAGGCCAAUCAUUUUAUAUAUGGGUUUUUAAUAAUUCAACUAGUAAUACAUCAAACUACAAAUCACACAGAGUAAAUAUGCGUACGAAAAUACAGACAAUAAACAUUUACAAGACAUAACGGAAUCCAAAUAAAAGAGAGAGAGAGAGAGAGAGAGAGAGAGAGAGAGAGAAAAGUGGAGAAAGCGAGAGAGAUCACAGAAUGAGCUCAGGUAUGAAAAUCAGUCAGUAAACCUUAGUGGAACCAACAACGAAUCAAAUAAUAGCAACACUUUAAAGCAGCAUUUAAAUCUCCAUAGAAAACGAUACUUGCAUGGCCCAGUGGGUGAGCGUGGUACCGGCGACGCACGUGUGAUGUCACGUGGUCCUUUGAAAACUGCGCGCGUGGGCCGGAGGCCGUGUGACGCGCGUGCAAGCUGCGCUGGAUCUUGGCGUGAGCGUGGAGUCACGUGUUCCUUUGUUGCAAAGAGGUGUUCGUUCAUCUUCGUGCGGUAUUUGAAAGGUUCAACAAACAAUGUUCCAGAAUUCGUCUUCAUUGUGUGGAGAGGUGAAUAGUUGAAUAAACUUAGUAAAGAAAAGAAAACAAAACAACGAAAAUGAAAGUUUCCAAAUGAGCCAUGAAAAUGGCUUUCCUCUCCUCAGUCCGUGUGCUGAGGGGGGAGGAGAACUGAGCGCGGCCCGAGGCCGCGCGGAGCGACGUGUCCGAGAACGGAGAACGGGAAGAAGAGCAAGAAGAGAGCGAGAAGAGAGAGUGGACCUUGUUUGGUCAAUUCUUAUAGCUUGAAAUAGUUCACGCCCAUUUUCGAGGGAGCAUCCAAUGAAUGUCCGCGAUCUGAAGCGGAGGGAAAGUUCCUUUGUCUCGGUUGAGACAACCCCCUGAUGAUUUAGGGCCUGUCCGAUUUCAUCAGGAAUAUUAAAGCAAGUUCAUUAUUCCAGAUUAAAUACAUUUUUCAUUACUUUGCUCUAGAUAAAUGGGUCUGUCAAAGCAUGACGAUUACACAGAUACUAAAAUUAAUAUGUGCAAAUGAUCAAAACAUGAAGAUACAUUCAAAUGCAGAAUUACACACAUUUAAAGAUUUGAUUAACACAUGAUAACACUGCAGAUAUUCCCAAUUUAUAUGGGAAACCUCUAAUGUAC
Long non-coding RNA from Carassius gibelio (silver crucian carp), 2130 nucleotides. RefSeq lists it as uncharacterized. The transcript has 2 exons. Lineage: Eukaryota; Metazoa; Chordata; Actinopteri; Cypriniformes; Cyprinidae. The record is from RefSeq and is a predicted model, not a curated record.